RNAcentral lists this ribosomal RNA (439 nucleotides) under uncultured bacterium. RNAcentral's name for it is "partial 16S ribosomal RNA". It matches the Rfam family "Bacterial small subunit ribosomal RNA", at positions 338 to 795 of the family's 1533-position model. The record is from RNAcentral.
CCUACGGGAGGCAGCAGUGGGGAAUAUUGCACAAUGGGCGAAAGCCUGAUGCAGCAACGCCGCGUGAGCGAUGAAGGCCUUCGGGUCGUAAAGCUCUGUCCUCAAGGAAGAUAAUGACGGUACUUGAGGAGGAAGCCCCGGCUAACUACGUGACAGCAGCCGCGGUAAUACGUAGGGGGCUAGCGUUAUCCGGAAUUACUGGGCGUAAGGGGUGCGUAGGUGGUUUCUUAAGUCAGAGGUGAAAGGCUACGGCUCAACCGGAGUAAGCCUUUGAAACUGGGGAACUUGAGUGCAGGAGAGGGGAGUGGAAUUCCUAGUGUAGCGGUGAAAUGCGUAGAUAUUAGGAGGAACACCAGUUGCGAAGGCGGCUCUCUGGACUGUAACUGACACUGAGGCACGAAAGCGUGGGGAGCAAACAGGAUUAGAUACCCCAGUAGUC